GAUGAACGCUGGCGGCGUGCCUAAUACAUGCAAGUCGAGCGAACAGAUAAGGAGCUUGCUCCUUUGACGUUAGCGGCGGACGGGUGAGUAACACGUGGGUAACCUACCUAUAAGACUGGGAUAACUUCGGGAAACCGGAGCUAAUACCGGAUAACAUUUGGAACCGCGUGGUUCUAAAGUGAAAGAUGGUUUUGCUAUCACUUAUAGAUGGACCCGCGCCGUAUUAGCUAGUUGGUAAGGUAACGGCUUACCAAGGCGACGAUACGUAGCCGACCUGAGAGGGUGAUCGGCCACACUGGAACUGAGACACGGUCCAGACUCCUACGGGAGGCAGCAGUAGGGAAUCUUCCGCAAUGGGCGAAAGCCUGACGGAGCAACGCCGCGUGAGUGAUGAAGGGUUUCGGCUCGUAAAACUCUGUUAUUAGGGAAGAACAAAUGUGUAAGUAACUGUGCACGUCUUGACGGUACCUAAUCAGAAAGCCACGGCUAACUACGUG
Molecule: ribosomal RNA, 497 nt
Filed under: uncultured bacterium
Lineage: Bacteria
Description: partial 16S ribosomal RNA
Rfam family: Bacterial small subunit ribosomal RNA
Source: RNAcentral